Molecule: long non-coding RNA, 166 nt
Organism: Epinephelus fuscoguttatus (brown-marbled grouper)
Lineage: Eukaryota; Metazoa; Chordata; Actinopteri; Perciformes; Serranidae
Exons: 3
Source: RefSeq, a predicted model, not a curated record
GGGACAUUGUGGAGACAGACACUGUGGGGACAGGUGUGGAGACAGACACCGUGGGGACAGGUGUGGAGACAGACACCGUGGGGACAGGUGUGGAGACAGACACCGCGGGGACAGACACUGUGGGGACAGACACUGUAGGGACAGGUGUGGGGACAGACAUCGCGGG